AAAUAGAUACCCUGGUAGUCCAUGCCGUAAACGAUGUCUACUAGCCGUUGGGGCCUUUGAGGCUUUAGUGGCGCAGCUAACGCGAUAAGUAGACCGCCUGGGGAGUACGGUCGCAAGACUAAAACUCAAAUGAAUUGACGGGGGCCCGCACAAGCGGUGGAGCAUGUGGUUUAAUUCGAUGCAACGCGAAGAACCUUACCUGGCCUUGACAUACUAAGAACUUUCCAGAGAUGGAUUGGUGCCUUCGGGAACUUAGAUACAGGUGCUGCAUGGCUGUCGUCAGCUCGUGUCGUGAGAUGUUGGGUUAAGUCCCGCAACGAGCGCAACCCUUUUCCUUACUUGCCAGCAUUUCGGAUGGGAACUUUAAGGAUACUGCCAGUGACAAACUGGAGGAAGGCGGGGACGACGUCAAGUCAUCAUGGCCCUUACGGGCCAGGGCUACACACGUGCUACAAUGGUCGGUACAAAGGGUUGCUACUGCGCGAGCAGAUGCUAAUCUCAAAAAGCCGAUCGUAGUCCGGAUCGCAGU
RNAcentral lists this ribosomal RNA (529 nucleotides) under uncultured bacterium. Its description in RNAcentral is "bacterial SSU rRNA". It matches the Rfam family "Bacterial small subunit ribosomal RNA", at positions 776 to 1304 of the family's 1533-position model. The record is from RNAcentral.